GAUGAAGAACGUAGCGAAAUGCGAUACUUGGUGUGAAUUGCAGAAUCCCGUGAACCAUCGAGUCUUUGAACGCAAGUUGCGCCCGAAGCCAUUAGGCCGAGGGCACGCCUGCCUGGGCGUCACACGUCGUUGCCCCCCCAUCUACUCCUUCGGGAUUGCGGGGGGCGGAUGAUGGCCUCCCGUGCGCCUUGUCGCGCGGUUGGCAUAAAUGCCAAGUCCUCGGCGACGCACGCCACGACAAUCGGUGGUUGCGAAACCUCGGUUGCCCGUCGUGUGCGGUCGUCGCGCAUCGAGGGCUCGAAAAAAUUGCCGAGUUCCGGCUCGGCUUUCAACGCGACCCCAGGUCAGGCGGGGUUACCCGCUGAAUUUAAGCAUAUCAAUAAGCGGAGGA
Molecule: unclassified non-coding RNA, 391 nt
Filed under: soil metagenome
Description: partial contains 5.8S ribosomal RNA, internal transcribed spacer 2, and large subunit ribosomal RNA
Rfam family: 5.8S ribosomal RNA (bases 1-122)
Source: RNAcentral